Molecule: ribosomal RNA, 461 nt
Filed under: uncultured bacterium
Lineage: Bacteria
Description: bacterial SSU rRNA
Rfam family: Bacterial small subunit ribosomal RNA
Source: RNAcentral
CCUACGGGAUGCACCAGUGGGGAAUAUUGCACAAUGGGCGCAAGCCUGAUGCAGCCAUGCCGCGUGUAUGAAGAAGGCCUUCGGGUUGUAAAGUACUUUCAGCGGGGAGGAAGGCGAUAAGGUUAAUAACCUUGUCGAUUGACGUUACCCACAGAAGAAGCACCGGCUAACUCCGUGCCAGCAGCCGCGGUAAUACGGAGGGUGCAAGCGUUAAUCGGAAUUACUGGGCGUAAAGCGCACGCAGGCGGUCUGUCAAGUCGGAUGUGAAAUCCCCGGGCUCAACCUGGGAACUGCAUUCGAAACUGGCAGGCUGGAGUCUUGUAGAGGGGGGUAGAAUUCCAGGUGUAGCGGUGAAAUGCGUAGAGAUCUGGAGGAAUACCGGUGGCGAAGGCGGCCCCCUGGACAAAGACUGACGCUCAGGUGCGAGAGCGUGGGGAGCAAACAGGAUUAGAUACCCGAGU